Molecule: small nuclear RNA, 164 nt
Organism: Pteronotus mesoamericanus
Lineage: Eukaryota; Metazoa; Chordata; Mammalia; Chiroptera; Mormoopidae
Product: U1 spliceosomal RNA
Exons: 1
Source: RefSeq, a predicted model, not a curated record
AUAUUUACCUAGCAGGGGAGAUGCUAUGAUCAUGAAGGUAGUUUUCCCAGGGCGAGGCUUGUCCCUUGCACUCUGGAUGUGCUGGCCCCUGAAGUUUCCCCAAAUGUGGGAAACUUGACUGCAUAAUUUGUGGUAGUGGGGGGCUGCGUUCGCACUCUCCCCUG